RNAcentral lists this ribosomal RNA (252 nucleotides) under uncultured bacterium. Its description in RNAcentral is "partial 16S ribosomal RNA". It matches the Rfam family "Bacterial small subunit ribosomal RNA", at positions 524 to 776 of the family's 1533-position model. The record is from RNAcentral.
UACGGAGGAUGCGAGCGUUAUCCGGAUUUAUUGGGUUUAAAGGGUGCGCAGGCGGAAGAUCAAGUCAGCGGUAAAAUUGAGAGGCUCAACCUCUUCGUGCCGUUGAAACUGGUUUUCUUGAGUGAGCGAGAAGUAUGCGGAAUGCGUGGUGUAGCGGUGAAAUGCAUAGAUAUCACGCAGAACUCCGAUUGCGAAGGCAGCAUACCGGCGCUCAACUGACGCUCAUGCACGAAAGUGUGGGUAUCGAACAGG